RNAcentral lists this ribosomal RNA (824 nucleotides) under uncultured bacterium. RNAcentral describes it as "bacterial SSU rRNA". It matches the Rfam family "Bacterial small subunit ribosomal RNA", at positions 8 to 813 of the family's 1533-position model. The record is from RNAcentral.
AGAGUUUGAUCCUGGCUCAGGACGAACGCUGGCGGCGUGCCUAAUACAUGCAAGUCGAACGAGAGCGACCGGUGCUUGCACUGGUCAAUCUAGUGGCGAACGGGUGAGUAACACGUGGGUAACCUGCCCAUCAGAGGGGGAUAACAUUCGGAAACGGAUGCUAAAACCGCAUAGGUCCUUUAACCGCAUGGUUGAAGGAGGAAAAGAGGCGCAAGCUUCUGCUGAUGGAUGGACCCGCGGUGCAUUAGCUAGUUGGUGAGGUAACGGCUCACCAAGGCCGUGAUGCAUAGCCGACCUGAGAGGGUGAUCGGCCACAUUGGGACUGAGACACGGCCCAAACUCCUACGGGAGGCAGCAGUAGGGAAUCUUCCGCAAUGGACGCAAGUCUGACGGAGCAACGCCGCGUGAGUGAAGAAGGUUUUCGGAUCGUAAAACUCUGUUGUUAGAGAAGAACAAGUGCUAGAGUAACUGUUAGCACCUUGACGGUAUCUAACCAGAAAGCCACGGCUAACUACGUGCCAGCAGCCGCGGUAAUACGUAGGUGGCAAGCGUUGUCCGGAUUUAUUGGGCGUAAAGCGAGCGCAGGCGGUUCCUUAAGUCUGAUGUGAAAGCCCCCGGCUCAACCGGGGAGGGUCAUUGGAAACUGGGGAACUUGAGUGCAGAAGAGGAGAGUGGAAUUCCAUGUGUAGCGGUGAAAUGCGUAGAUAUAUGGAGGAACACCAGUGGCGAAGGCGACUCUCUGGUCUGUAACUGACGCUGAGGCUCGAAAGCGUGGGUAGCAAACAGGAUUAGAUACCCUGGUAGUCCACGCCGUAAACGAUGAG